This 468-nucleotide ribosomal RNA is filed under the name uncultured bacterium. Its description in RNAcentral is "partial 16S ribosomal RNA". It matches the Rfam family "Bacterial small subunit ribosomal RNA", at positions 28 to 507 of the family's 1533-position model. The record is from RNAcentral.
GACGAACGCUGGCGGCGUGCUUAACACAUGCAAGUCGAACGGAAAGGCCCUGCUUUUGUGGGGUGCUCGAGUGGCGAACGGGUGAGUAACACGUGAGUAACCUGCCCUUGACUUUGGGAUAACUUCAGGAAACUGGGGCUAAUACCGGAUAGGAGAUCCUGCUGCAUGGUGGGGGUUGGAAAGUUUCGGCGGUUGGGGAUGGACUCGCGGCUUAUCAGCUUGUUGGUGGGGUAGUGGCUUACCAAGCCUUUGACGGGUAGCCGGCAUGAGAGGGUGACCGGCGACAUUGGGACUGAGAGACGGCCCAGACUCCUACGGGAGGCAGCAGUGGGGAAUAUUGCACAAUGGGCGGAAGCCUGAUGCAGCGACGCCGCGUGCGGGAUGACGGCCUUCGGGGUGUAAACCGCUUUCGCCUGUGACGAAGCGUGAGUGACGGUAAUGGGUAAAGAAGCACCGGCUAACUACGUG